This is a long non-coding RNA of Salvia splendens (bonfire salvia), 231 nucleotides long. RefSeq lists it as uncharacterized. The record is from RefSeq and is a predicted model, not a curated record. The transcript is spliced from 3 exons. NCBI's taxonomy places the organism in Eukaryota, Viridiplantae, Streptophyta, Magnoliopsida, Lamiales, Lamiaceae.
CCCAGUCGGCGUUUCACAAAUUUUACCCCCCAAAAAAGGAACUUUUCAAAAUCGUACUUCUUUGUGGUUAAGAUUAAUAAUGACGAAAACAGGACGUCCUUCAACUUCACAAUAAUCGCAAUCUGAAGCAGCGAAGCAGAUGAGAUUCAGGAACAAUGAAGUGAAAAAAAUCCCAGAUAAAUACCUAGAAAGCAGAUGGAUGAAGACGAAUCUGUACAUUAUUAAACUAGU